GAUGAACGCUGGCGGCGUGCCUAAUACAUGCAAGUCGAGCGAACAGAUAAGGAGCUUGCUCCUUUGACGUUAGCGGCGGACGGGUGAGUAACACGUGGGUAACCUACCUGUAAGACUGGGAUAACUUCGGGAAACCGGAGCUAAUACCGGAUAAUAUUUCGAACCGCAUGGUUCGAUAGUGAAAGAUGGUUUUGCUAUCACUUAUAGAUGGACCCGCGCCGUAUUAGCUAGUUGGUAAGGUAACGGCUUACCAAGGCGACGAUACGUAGCCGACCUGAGAGGGUGAUCGGCCACACUGGAACUGAGACACGGUCCAGACUCCUACGGGAGGCAGCAGUAGGGAAUCUUCCGCAAUGGGCGAAAGCCUGACGGAGCAACGCCGCGGGAGUGAUGAAGGUCUUCGGAUCGUAAAACUCUGUUAUUAGGGAAGAACAUACGUGUAAGUAACUGUGCACGUCUUGACGGUACCUAAUCAGAAAGCCACGGCUAACUACGUG
Molecule: ribosomal RNA, 497 nt
Filed under: uncultured bacterium
Lineage: Bacteria
Description: partial 16S ribosomal RNA
Rfam family: Bacterial small subunit ribosomal RNA
Source: RNAcentral